AUUUACUUUUUUUUUAAAACAAGGAGGUCACAUAAUAACCUCUGAAUCCUUUUCGUCAUUAAAAUGCGACUGAUAAGUAUAGAUAUUCAAUAUGAAAAGGGGGAAAAAAUAACCGUGACUGAAAUCUAAAUCUAAAAUUUGUUUUAAAAAAAUACACAUUUGACCAUGCAGAUGUAAGAAAUGAUACUUCAAGCAAUGAAACAACGAAUUAAAUGUGCCACUUUAAUUACGACUGAUAACCUAAAAAUGAAUCAUGCAUGCAUUUUUAGCAGACUUAACCAGGUCGGCGAUAAGAUAUCGAAUAUAAAAAAAGAAGAUAUCGGGUUUGGUGUCAAUGAGACAACUAUCUACAAGAAACCAAAAUAACACAGAAAUACAAACUAUGGGUCACCGUACGGCCUUCAACAACAGACAAAGCACGUACCGCAUAGUCGGCUAUAAAAGGCCCCGAAAUGACAAUGUAAAACAAUCAGUCAAAAAAGAAAAUUAACAAAGUCCGUAU
Molecule: long non-coding RNA, 502 nt
Filed under: Mytilus galloprovincialis (Mediterranean mussel)
Lineage: Eukaryota; Metazoa; Mollusca; Bivalvia; Mytilida; Mytilidae
Source: RNAcentral